GGGAGCUCCAGGAUCUCGCUGCGCCUUUCCCCAGGAUGGGAUCACAGAGCAGGGAUUGUGCUUGGCUGUGGAGAGCCCAUUGAAAUGGAUCUGAGGCCUUGCAGAGAUGGACACCAAAUGGGCAGCAUGGAAACCAGCGUUCACCUUCCAGCGACUAGCUUUCCACACUAAACUGCCUCCACCAUCUCCAGCCAUCAGCUUGAACCACUCCAGUGAGAGCUGAACCUGCUGUGUUGAAGCUGGACUGGCCAGGAGCCGCCAGCAGGAAGUAGAGAUAAGCGGAGAGCGACAGGUCUCAGAGGAAACGGCAUACAACAAACCAGCCAGUGUGUUGAGCAUACAAUUAAGCUUCUUGGACUUCAUCUGAAAUGAAAUAGGCUGUAGUGAUGCUUGAGCAAUGGCCCUCUGCAGUACCUAGAAAAACAAGAGGUGAGCAGACAGAAGAAAGCAACAACAAAAAAAGACAGCAAGAAGAGAUGGUGCAUCGCUUUUAAAUGACUAAUUUAGAAGGAAGCAAUUGGAAGAAGACAAACAUUAACCCACUCGCUCCC
Melanotaenia boesemani (Boeseman's rainbowfish) is the source of this 551-nucleotide long non-coding RNA. RefSeq lists it as uncharacterized. NCBI's taxonomy places the organism in Eukaryota, Metazoa, Chordata, Actinopteri, Atheriniformes, Melanotaeniidae. The transcript is spliced from 3 exons. The record is from RefSeq and is a predicted model, not a curated record.